AGUGUCUGGCUAUGGCCGUUCACGUCCAAUUUGGCAUCCGCGCAAUGAAAGGCAAUUGGGUAGCAGCCCCCACACAGCAGCCAGUCCUUAUUAUUAUAUGUGAAGUGUGGCUCAGGCAAUGAUUAAUGACAGUGUCGGGGCGAAAACAAAGCACAGCGCAAGUUAUCUCCAAUCCACCUGCUCCUGUGCACCGAUUGGAAGAGAAUGAGAAGAGCACGGGCAGAGGCUUGAUAAUGGAAAAGAAAAGGGAAAGAGAAUGAAAGGGGAAAAGAUGAAGAGGAGGAGGAAGAGAAAAGGAAGAUGGUGGCACCGAGAGUACAGGGAAGGGGACUUAUUGACUACAGUGGGGUGAGAAUGAAGAAAAAUCCUCAGAGCAUUUCCUUAUGAACUUAAUUUUGCAUUCAAGAUGAAAAUGAGGAUGUGUACCUUAUGCCUUUAAACUAAUGAAUGCCAACUUGCAGGUGGUAUACAUGUGAGGUCCAACUGUCCCCCGCUGUAUUGGUGUUGACAUUUAUGAGACAUGUCGGAGGGGGCCUGCUAGACCUCACUAAUGAGAUAGCUGAUGCAGAGAUCCAGUACCACAGCCUGACACUGCCAUCCAGAGGACAAAUUCGGUAAACAAGCCACGGGGCCGCGGAGCUGGAGGACUGAAGGUGUGACAGGUGUUCUUCAUUGACUCAUCAGUUCAGAGGACUAUAUGAGGGCGGCUCACCUGCACUUCUGCACUUCUGUGCACCUCAGCCUUGCUCCUUGUUGGAGAUCUCAAGAAAACCUCUGAUCACAGUCUGGACUCUGGAUUCAUUCCAUCCAGCGGGCCGCCCUGGAUACCUCUCUGUCUGGUUAAGCGAACCCUGUCCACCCUCCUACGGUUCCUCCUGGAUCAUCAAGAAGCCUCAACGGAAUCAGCACAACCUCACUGUCCCAGACUCGCAACCAUUUCCCCCUUGGCGGAUCGCCCCACCUGAAUAGCAAGCCUAACCACAGAAUUAGCAAGUCUGUUUCUUGAUCUGAACUCACCUUGUUGUUUUCCCUUCCAGUCAGACGGCCUUCCUGGAAA
Long non-coding RNA from Girardinichthys multiradiatus, 1057 nucleotides. RefSeq lists it as uncharacterized. The transcript is spliced from 4 exons. The record is from RefSeq and is a predicted model, not a curated record. NCBI's taxonomy places the organism in Eukaryota, Metazoa, Chordata, Actinopteri, Cyprinodontiformes, Goodeidae.